This 2079-nucleotide long non-coding RNA is filed under the name Musa acuminata (dwarf banana). RNAcentral describes it as "long non-coding RNA (MACU_LNC008328)". The record is from RNAcentral. Lineage: Eukaryota; Viridiplantae; Streptophyta; Magnoliopsida; Zingiberales; Musaceae.
UUUUCUUUAGCUACAGGCUACUCUUUUCCAUGCCACUGUUGUUUAGGCGAAAGAAUAGGUCUUGGUAUCAAUCAAUUGAAAUAAAGAAAAGAAAGAUCAAGCUUACUUUAGGGAAGAAAAGAAGCUACAGCUACGGAUGGAUCACCAGAAGCAAACAAAAGGGUGUUGCGUAUAGACAUAGACAUAGACCCACGUAGCGGUAAUCUGAAUCAUAGGCUAUUAAAAGAAACAGAAAUAUAGCCAGGUUCUUGUUCGACUUGCUAAUGAAGUCUCAAGUAAGGCUAGAUAGGGUCUCAAGUGCAAGUGAUCAGAAGGUUAGCUUUGCCAGGACAGGAUACCUUCGUCAAUCAGUGUUAUCGCAUUAAGAAGCGGUGCCCAGAAUCUGCAUAAGAUUUCUCAGGAUCAGAGGCUUUGCUUGUUAAUUCUUCUGUUCGAAAGGGAAGUGCAGGUGAUUCAGUUGUCGAUUCAUAAAGUGACGGAGUGUGUCAAUUCAUUAUUUCUAUUAAGAUGCUGGAAAGAUGGAUUCAUUUCAUUCUUUUAUUUACUGCAAGAAGAUAUUCAGCGUGAAGGAUUGUUUUGUAUCCGAGAUUGGAAGCAGUUAAGGCCCACUCCGCGGUUGGUUAAGGGAAGAAAAGAAUCAGGCAGGGGAAGAAACAGUUUCAAGAGAAGGAUAAGACUCCGCGUGCGGUAUCAAAUGAGCGGGUAAAUUCUCUCUUAAGGGCAGGUUGAAUCUCAUCUAACAGUACAAACAAGAACAAGUAAGGGCGGGUUGAAUCUCAUCUAACAGUACAAACAAGAACAAGCUGUGCUAUUUACUCAUAUAAGAAGAACAAGCCAAGCAGUGCUAUUGACUCAUAUUUAUACACCACAUGUGCAACGGAGAGAAAAUCAAUAUCUUUCACUUUGCCAAAGUCUGAAGGAUACUCUACUUACUUGUUCCAUAGGGGCUCCCCCUUUCUUUAUAGUAAUCCUUCUUUCUAGAGCGGCGAAGAGUAAUUGCACUUGCGCCAACAAACACUACUGACUUUUACCAGCUUCAUCUGAUCCAGCUCUCUCUUAUGAUACAGCUCAGCUCCCUCUUAUAAAACAUAUUCCUUUCCCGCUUCCUCACCUCACCCUCUCUUGGUAACAAGCUUAUGGGAGUGGAAAGCAAGAGCAAGAAUCAAAAUGGAUGAAUAUUAGAAUAGGGUACGCAUAUAGAGCGCAUAUAGAGAUAUUAAUUCCAUUCUGACUUUAUAGUAUAUUCAUUCAACCUAUUAGUAUCAUUCGACUUAAUCAAUUCUUCGCUAUCAUUCAAAGGGUAAAUCAAAGAAGAGCCUCCAUUCCUCUGGAACAAAAGAAUGGGGUAUAAUCCUAAGGUGAGUUCUCCCACUCCUUUAAUACCCCUAAUGAAUGCCCAUUUAAGGUCUUUUGAGUUCCAUUCAAUACAGUAAAGGGGGAUCCAAACUCAUUCUGGAGCUUCUCCCUCUUUGGAAUGCAUUUGAUGUAUGUUUCCAUACCCUUAAUAGCAGAGCUCGGUGUUGGGUCAAUAGAUUCUAGCUUUCUGUUCUGGUUUUGUAAGGAAAGGAAGCAACGGCCUUAAAUGUCACCUAUAAAGCAAAAGUAAGCAAUGCUGUAAGGAAAGGAAGCAAAGCAACUAUGGCAUUUUAGGGAGUUUGUAAGGAAAGGAAGCAAGCCCAAGUGCGUAACCAGAAGCCGUUUGCGCAAGUUAGCGAGUUGGCAAUUAGUGUCAUAUACAAUAGGAGCCGAACGCGAGUCAGUUGCAAGCUCAGCGGGGGGAAGGUUCGUGGAAGUCAAAUUGCUAUAGGGUUAAUAGAAUGGACUGUGCUAGUAUAAUCCUAGUGCUUUUGUUGUCGACGAGUCUCUUUUCUAGUGUUUGAUUGCCUUGGACUUAUAUGAUUCUUGAGCCCCGAGAGUAACCCUUAGCAUCCCUCAUUUAUUCGCUUUAAGCUUUCAUUUAAGCCCUCUUGUCCUGCUUGAGCUUAAAGGCAUGGAAGUACCUGAGUUCACCUACCUGUCUUUAUCAGCUAACAGUUCUUUUCUUCUAAUUAUGAUUAGAAUCCAUCCUAUUCCUUUCCU